RNAcentral lists this long non-coding RNA (3187 nucleotides) under Cricetulus griseus (Chinese hamster). RNAcentral's name for it is "lncRNA (ENSCGRG00000024696.1)". Lineage: Eukaryota; Metazoa; Chordata; Mammalia; Rodentia; Cricetidae. The record is from RNAcentral.
UAUCAGAUAUAGAAGGUGGUGAUGGACUGCAGCUCAGAAAGGAACAUACUCUCAAAAUAUUUGCUUAUAUCAAUUCCUGGACUCAGAGGCAAUGUCUGUGCUGCUUCAAGGAAUAUAAGCAUUUGGAGAUUUUUAACCAAGUAGUGUGUGCACUUAUUAACUUAGUGAUUGCCCAAGUUCAAGUGCUCCGGGACCAGCUUUGUAAACAUUGUACUACCGUUAACAUAGAUUCCACGUGGCAAGAUGAGAGUAAUCAAGCAGAAGAACCACUGAGUAUAGAUAGAGAAUGUAAUGAAGGAAAUGCAGAAAGACAAAAAUCAAUAGAAAAAAAAUCAAACUCUACAAGAAUUUGUAAUCUGUCUGAGGAAGAAUCUUCAAAGAGUUCUGAUCCUUUUAGUUUAUGGAGUACAGAUGAGAAGGAAAAACUAUUACUGUGUGUAGCAAAAAUUUUUCAAAUUCAGUUUCCCUUAUAUACUGCUUACAAGCAUAAUACUCAUCCUACUAUAGAGGAUAUAUCGACGCAAGAAAGUAACAUAUUAGGGGCAUUCUGUGAUAUGAAUGAUGUAGAAGUACCCUUGCAUUUGCUUCGUUAUGUCUGUCUGUUUUGUGGGAAAAAUGGCCUUUCUCUUAUGAAAGAUUGUUUUGAAUAUGGAACUCCUGAAACUUUGCCGUUUCUUAUAGCACAUGCAUUUAUUACAGUUGUUUCUAAUAUUAGGAUAUGGCUACAUAUCCCUGCUGUCAUGCAGCAUAUUAUACCUUUUAGAACGUAUGUUAUCAGGUAUUUAUGCAAGCUCUCUGAUCAGGAGUUACGACAGAGUGCAGCUCGUAACAUGGCUGACUUAAUGUGGAGUACAGUGAAAGAGCCAUUGGAUACAACACUAUGCUUUGAUAAAGAAAGCCUGGAUCUUGCUUUUAAGUACUUUAUGUCACCAACUUUGACCAUGAGGUUGGCUGGAUUGAGUCAGAUAACAAAUCAGCUUCAUACUUUCAAUGAUGUGUGCAAUAACGAAUCAUUGGUAUCAGACACAGAAACGUCCAUUGCAAAGGAACUUGCUGACUGGCUUAUUAGCAACAAUGUAGUGGAGCAUAUAUUUGGACCAAAUUUACAUAUUGAGAUUAUUAAGCAGUGCCAAGUGAUUUUGAAUUUCUUGGCAGCAGAAGGACGAUUGAGUACUCAGCAUAUUGACUGCAUUUGGGCUGCAGCACAGCUGAAGCACUGUAGUCGAUAUAUUCAUGACUUAUUUCCCUCACUCAUCAAGAAUCUGGAUCCUGUACCACUUAGACAUUUACUUAAUCUGGUCUCAGCUCUUGAGCCAAGUGUUCAUACUGAACAGACACUUUACUUGGCAUCCAUGUUAAUUAAAGCUUUGUGGAAUAAUGCACUUGCAGCUAAGGCCCAACUAUCUAAACAGAGUUCGUUUGCAUCUUUAUUAAACACUAAUGUGCCCAUUGGAAAUAAAAAAGGGUCUCCUGCAGCAAGUCCUCAAAGUAGUGACAACAGUGAUACACAUCAGAGUGGAGCCAGUGACAUUGAAAUGGAUGAGCAGCUUAUUAAUAGAACCAAACAUGUGCAGCAGCGACUCUCUGACACAGAGGAAUCCAUGCAAGGAAGUUCUGAUGAAACUGCUAACAGUGGUGAAGAUGGAAGCAGUGGUCCUGGUAGCAGUAGUGGGCACAGUGAUGGAUCUAGCAAUGAAGUCAAUUCAAGCCAUGCAAGCCAGUCAGCUGGCAGCCCUGGAAGUGAGGUGCAAUCAGAAGACAUUGCAGACAUUGAAGCCCUUAAAGAAGAAGAUGAUGAUGAUGAUCAUGGUCACAAUCCUCCCAAAAAUAGUUGUGGUACAGAACUUCGAAAUAGAAAGUUAGAAAAUCAAGCGGGCAUUUGCUUGGGGGAAUCCCAAGGCACAUCUGAAAGAAAUGGGACAAGCAGUGGAACAGGAAAGGACCUGGUUUUUAAUACUGAGUCAUUGCCAUCUGUAGAUAAUCGAAUACGAAUGCUAGAUGCCUGUGCUCACCCUGAAGACCCAGAGCAUGAUAUUUCAGCGGAAAUGAGUUCUGCUCACAUAGCACAAGGUUCUCAGGAGUCUUGUAUCACACGAAGCGGGGACUUCCUUGGGGAGACUAUUGGGAAUGAAUUGUUUAAUUGUCGGCAGUUUAUUGGUCCACAGCACCACCACCACCACCACCACCACCACCACCAUCACCACCACCACCACCACCACCACCACCACCAUCAUGAUGGACAUAUGGUUGAUGAUAUGCUAAGUGCAGAUGAUGUCAGUUGCAGUAGCUCGCAGGUCAGUGCAAAAUCAGAAAAAAAUAUGGCUGAUUUUGAUGGUGAAGAGUCUGGAUGUGAAGAGGAACUAGUUCAGAUAAAUUCACAUGCAGAACUAACAUCUCAUCUCCAACAACAUCUUCCCAAUUUAGCAUCUAUUUAUCAUGAACAUCUUAGUCAAGGACCCGCAGUCCAUAAGCAUCAGUUCAACAGUAAUGCUGUGACAGACAUUAAUUUGGAUAAUGUCUGCAAGAAAGGAAACACUUUAUUAUGGGAUAUAGUGCAAGAUGAUGAUGCAGUUAAUCUUUCUGAAGGAUUAAUAAAUGAGGCAGAGAAACUUCUUUGUUCCUUGGUUUGUUGGUUUACAGAUAGGCAGAUUCGAAUGAGAUUCAUUGAAGGCUGCCUUGAGAAUUUAGGAAACAACAGAUCAGUAGUGAUUUCUCUUCGUCUUCUUCCAAAACUGUUUGGUACUUUUCAGCAGUUUGGUAGCAGUUAUGAUACACAUUGGAUUACAAUGUGGGCAGAAAAAGAACUGAACAUGAUGAAGCUUUUCUUUGACAAUCUGGUGUAUUACAUUCAAGGUAUAAGAGAAGGAAGACAAAAGCAUGCGUUGUACAGCCAUAGUGCCGAAGUUCAAGUUCGACUUCAGUUCCUAACUUGUGUGUUUUCAACUCUGGGAUCACCUGAUCAUUUCAGGCUAAGUUUAGAGCAAGUCGACAUUUUAUGGCAUUGUUUAGUAGAAGAUUCUGAGUGCUAUGAUGAUGCACUUCAUUGGUUUUUAAAUCAAGUUCGAAGUAAAGAUCAACAUGCAAUGGGAAUGGAAACCUAUAAACAUCUUUUCCUGGAGAAGGUAAUUGUAUAUCUUAGAAGUUUAUUUGUAUAAUUUCCUAUAUGUAUUUUAGUGUCUUGAAGUAU